Molecule: ribosomal RNA, 253 nt
Filed under: uncultured bacterium
Lineage: Bacteria
Description: partial 16S ribosomal RNA
Rfam family: Bacterial small subunit ribosomal RNA
Source: RNAcentral
UACAUGGGGUGCAAACGUUGCUCGGAAUUAUUGGGCGUAAAGCGCGCGUAGGCGGCUACUUAAGUCGGAUGUGAAAGCCCUCGGCUUAACUGAGGAAGUGCACCCGAAACUGAGUAGCUAGAGUACGAAAGAGGGUCGCGGAAUUCCCGGUGUAGAGGUGAAAUUCGUAGAUAUCAGGAGGAACACCGGUGGCGAAGGCGGCCACCUGGACGAUUACUGACGCUGAGACGCGAAAGCGUGGGGAGCAAACAGG